GUUGGUUUUGGUGACAUGGUCCCUAAAACUUAUUUAGGAAUGCUGGUCGGAUCACUUUGUGCACUGAUGGGUGUACUCACAAUUGCUCUUCCAGUUCCAGUUAUUGUAUCCAAC
Regulatory RNA element from Caenorhabditis elegans, 114 nucleotides. It matches the Rfam family "Potassium channel RNA editing signal". Rfam says of the family: This family represents a group of sequences related to the human potassium channel Kv1.1 hairpin element which directs the efficient modification of an adenosine to inosine by an adenosine deaminase acting on RNA (ADAR). The ADAR modification causes an isoleucine/valine recoding event which lies in the ion-conducting pore of the potassium channel. The record is from Rfam. NCBI's taxonomy places the organism in Eukaryota, Metazoa, Nematoda, Chromadorea, Rhabditida, Rhabditidae.